GUGCUGGUUGGUGCAUGUUGAGACCAAAUGGCAGUCAGCCAGAGCUGCGGGGAAACAGACCUGGUCUGAAAAGUCAACUGCAGACUGCGGUGAAGCAGCGUCUGCCUGCUGCUGCUUCAGUCUGCUUCAUCUUUCCAGAGGAAACGUUAAAAAACUGUUUGUGAGCAGCCUGAUGCUGAAGGGACCAGAUGGAAAUGUUCCAGGGCCCCAGCACGCGCCAGCAGACACCCUGAGCUCUGGCCAGGACAGUGAUUGUGAUUUAGCCGAGGCUAAGCUGAAGACUACAAGAUUAAGAAGGCCAAAACAACCCCCAUGAAAACAGAUACUGCUAAAUACCUGCUCGGGGCUGCCGUUUUCCGAGCCGGUGGGGCUGGGAAGCUUAAGGUUGAUGGGGUCCACCGCCAGGCCCUUCUGAGCGAGGCAA
This is a long non-coding RNA of Gambusia affinis (western mosquitofish), 424 nucleotides long. RefSeq lists it as uncharacterized. The record is from RefSeq and is a predicted model, not a curated record. Lineage: Eukaryota; Metazoa; Chordata; Actinopteri; Cyprinodontiformes; Poeciliidae. The transcript has 3 exons.